This 253-nucleotide ribosomal RNA is filed under the name uncultured bacterium. Its description in RNAcentral is "partial 16S ribosomal RNA". It matches the Rfam family "Bacterial small subunit ribosomal RNA", at positions 524 to 776 of the family's 1533-position model. The record is from RNAcentral.
UACGUAGGGGGCAAGCGUUGUCCGGAAUCAUUGGGCGUAAAGAGCGUGUAGGCGGCCUGGUAAGUCCGCUGUGAAAGUCCAGGGCUCAACCCUGGAAUGCCGGUGGAAACUGUCAGGCUCGAGUCCGGAAGAGGCGAGUGGAAUUCCUGGUGUAGCGGUGAAAUGCGUAGAUAUCUGGAGGAACACCGGUGGCGAAGGCGGCAUCCUGGACCGAAACUGACACUGAGGCGCGAAAGCCAGGGGAGCAAACGGG